Molecule: ribosomal RNA, 440 nt
Filed under: uncultured bacterium
Lineage: Bacteria
Description: partial 16S ribosomal RNA
Rfam family: Bacterial small subunit ribosomal RNA
Source: RNAcentral
CCUACGGGAGGCAGCAGUAGGGAAUAUUGCUCAAUGGGGGAAACCCUGAAGCAGCAACGCCGCGUGGAGGAUGAAGGUUUUCGGAUUGUAAACUCCUUUUGUUAGAGAAGAUAAUGACGGUAUCUAACGAAUAAGCACCGGCUAACUCCGUGCCAGCAGCCGCGGUAAUACGGCGGGCGCAAGCGUUACUCGGAAUCACUGGGCGUAAAGAGCGCGUAGGCGGGAUAGCAAGUCAGAUGUGAAAUCCUAUGGCUUAACCAUAGAACUGCAUUUGAAACUGUUAUUCUAGAGUAUGGGAGAGGUAGGUGGAAUUCUUGGUGUAGGGGUAAAAUGCGUAGAGAUCAAGAGGAAUACUCAUUGCGAAGGCGACCUGCUAGAGCAUAACUGACGCUGAUGCGCGAAAGCGUGGGGAGCAAACAGGAUUAGAUACCCGGGUAGUC